Long non-coding RNA from Saccostrea cuccullata (small rock oyster), 372 nucleotides. RefSeq lists it as uncharacterized. The record is from RefSeq and is a predicted model, not a curated record. Lineage: Eukaryota; Metazoa; Mollusca; Bivalvia; Ostreida; Ostreidae. The transcript is spliced from 3 exons.
UCGACAAAUCUGUGGUCUUAUGCAUAUAAAGACACAUUCUCCUGUAAAAUUCAUUCAAGUAACGGAUUAUAACCAGUAACACAACUAUGCGAGGCACCAAUCUGUUGAUUAUUUUAAGUUUAAUUAAAUUUGUUCAUGGAUGUUCACCAUUUGUAUACCACGACCAAACGACUUACUGCAGAGCUGCUUACGCAUUCACAGGCGAAGUACAAAGUUCAAAUGUCAUGGAUUUUGAGUCCGACUUUCGGAUUCGAGUGACAUCAAAUAUAAAGGGCAAAAUAAGUUCGAAAGGAAGGGAGAUAAAAGUGUAUGGUAGAGGAAGAAUGCAUUCUUGUGGCUCUACAAGUCUGACACUCAACAAGGAAUACAUCU